GUUUAAAAAAAAAAAAAAAAAAGAAAAUAGAUUUUUUUCUUUUUUCUCUCUCUUCUGAAGACCGCACGCCUCUCUUCUUUUCUUCUCCCUUUUUUUUUUUACCCAAACCCUAGCCGCCAGAGCCGCUGUCGCCUGUUACUUCGCCGUCGAUCUUCCCUCCUCUUCUAGCCGCGCCGCAUUGCCAGUGCCAUCGCCGAGCGCUGCUGCUACCCCGUCGCCGCGAAGAGCCCCCGCCGUUCGUCGUCCCCUGUCCUUCAGUCGGGUCGUCCGCCGCUGCCUCAUCCGGUGCCUGGAUUGUCGAAGUUGGCCGUGAGCCGCCACGCCCAAGCCGUUCCACCCAUGCAGACCCCCUUCAUCCGUCACGCCCAGCCAUUCAGCCCCGUUUCUGCAGCCACACUCAGCCACAAUCGAUGCAUACUACCACCCUGCCUCCGAUCGGUGCAGCCGCUCGUUUCAGACGGCGCUGGACUAGUUUCGUCGUCAUUCUGGUCAGCCACCAUUGGGUUCGCCGACCGCCGCUGCCUAUUCUUGCAAAAUCUUGAGUUGGGAUUAGGAUUUUGGAAGAUUUUGGGGCAUUGCUAUCAAGGAAGAGACCUUUCUUUUCAACCAAAAAUUUUUGGAGUUGAGUAAGUUUUGUGAUUGAUUUGAGUUUUAUCCAAGGGCUAUUAAUGAGUUAUUUGCAUAGACUUUUGAGACCAAGUUGAGGUAAGUGGUACUAUUACCGGUGCCUUCAUGCCAAGCGGCCUAGACUAGACUUAUAAAGUUACUUAAUGGACUCUUGAAGCAUGAUUUUUUUUUUCAUUAUGUUUUACUUGUUGCAUGAAAGUUAUAAGUAUUAUGAGCAUGUUCGAAUUUCUAAUCAGUACUGAUAUUAUAUAUGUGAUGCAUGAAUAGACCAAUAGAGCGGUUUACUGUCUCGCCUUGACACAUGUUUUAUUUCAGAGGACCUACGGGUCUAGUUUCAUGUUUGACAGCGUGCCUACGAGCCGUAGACAUGCGUGAGUCAAAAGGUUCACAUUCAUAUUAUUUUUCCAUGUUUGAUAGUGUGCCUAC
Benincasa hispida (wax gourd) is the source of this 1053-nucleotide non-coding RNA. NCBI's taxonomy places the organism in Eukaryota, Viridiplantae, Streptophyta, Magnoliopsida, Cucurbitales, Cucurbitaceae. The record is from RefSeq and is a predicted model, not a curated record.